Molecule: small nuclear RNA, 350 nt
Filed under: Mus pahari (shrew mouse)
Lineage: Eukaryota; Metazoa; Chordata; Mammalia; Rodentia; Muridae
Description: sRNA (MGP_PahariEiJ_G0008188.1)
Rfam family: 7SK RNA (bases 1-273)
About the family: 7SK was discovered as an abundant small nuclear RNA in the mid-70s but a possible function has only recently been suggested. Two independent studies have found that 7SK RNA binds the CDK9/cyclin T complex (known as elongation factor P-TEFb). P-TEFb activates transcription by phosphorylating the C-terminal domain of RNA polymerase II.
Source: RNAcentral
GGAUGUACGCGUGAUCUGGCUGUGAAAUCUGUCACGGCGCUGAGCGGCAGGGUUGGUUUGGCUGAUCUCGUUUGGCUAGGUGGGUGUCUCCUUUCUCCCUCACCACUCCAUGCCCCUGCCUCCGGAAGUUGGGUGUGAUGUUGAAGAAGGCAACCUUCCCUGAGCAGAACUCAUCAUCUUCCAUCAAAGGUACGGGGUUAGCUGUGCUCUCUCGUGCUACAGCCUCCAAGCAAGCUAUCAAAAAUGCAAAAGUGUUGUGUGAGUUACCCCCGGGGCAUGGUGAUGGGGAAGGUAGGUUGUAUGGUCAGCAGAUGAUAAAGCUGGCUGCAGAGAUCAGAAUCAGCUCCUAG